CACACUCUUUGAUUAAAAGGAUAACCAACCUAUAUGACACACAAUGAUCUAUACUCGAUAUUGUUAUCGUCCUAUUAAUAGCAUAUCAUUUGAUCGUGAAUAUGUUUUAAAGACUAAACGAUAAAUUUUUCUUUAUUGAUUAAAUAUAGUCCUAAGGACUUCAUCACUAUACAGGAGUUCAAGUAAGAUGGAUAAAAUAUGUUGAAAAAGUCAAAUAAUUUUUAUUAAUAAUAAUUUAUAUACAAUUUACAAAUAUGAGCACAAUUAUCAACAAGCUGACGAUUGACUUUGGGAUGUAAUUCUCAAUAAUAGAGUCGUUAUGCUACCCCAGAGCAUCAGAUGUUAAUAGAGUGGUUGUGCCUCUCCGAUGCAGCUGAACUACUGUAAUCAGUCGAGAAUGAUCAACGUCAGGAAAGGCACUUGCAUCUCUACAAUGGUGGAAGGUCGCUAGACUUAAUAUUCAAUUAUGGACAUUUAAUUUAGGUCUCAUCUACUUAGUCACAUAUAUUAAAUAUAAUAACUAAACUGGUUUAGAUCAACCCAUCUCAUGUCUAACCCACCUAGCUAGCAUGGGUGAACAUGAAUCACUAAUCAACCAGACUCAAUCCAUAAUCUACCAAAUGGCCAGAUAAGUGAGAUCAGUGGGAGAGA
This 651-nucleotide long non-coding RNA is filed under the name Elaeis guineensis (African oil palm). RNAcentral describes it as "long non-coding RNA (EGUI_LNC067875)". The record is from RNAcentral. Lineage: Eukaryota; Viridiplantae; Streptophyta; Magnoliopsida; Arecales; Arecaceae.